AAAGACCAAUAAUUUUUUAUUACCCGCCUAUUAUUCCCUCUUCUUCUCAUCUCUGUCGCCUGCCCUAAAUCCUCCAAGUAAAAGUUUGUACUUAAUUCUUUUUCCUUUUACUCUGAAAAUUUGCCCCCAAAUUUCCCAUUUCCAACAACAUCAAAUGUCUGAGGACGACGAGAGGCAGCAAUCUCUGCCGUCGGAUCUUGAGUUCGUUGUAAUGGCUUUUGCUUCUUCUUUUUUUCCGACGCUUGAUGGCCUUCUUCUCUGAAUCUGAUUUUGGUGGCGGCUUCUAAUUCUCAGUCGGCUUUUUCAUGGAUUUCAAGUGAAGAUUAGAUUUGAAGUGCUGGGUUCGUUUCCUGCAAAAUAAAAUUUGGAUUUUCAAAUUGAGUUGUAUCGGCAUCAAUCCAGCGGAUACUGAGCAAGCUCUAAGUACUUGUUCAUAGCUUGAGAAUUUAUAUUGAUUCAGUUAGGCGCCUUCUAUGCUCUGCAAGACCUGUGGCUAUCCAAACAUCAGCCAAUCCAAGUGCCUCUGAUCAGGAUCUUCAACAGGCUCAACUGUGGCAGCUUGCACAAAGGACUACUGCUCUUCCUCUUGGCCGUGGGGCAUUUACUUUAGCAACCAUAUAUACUCUAUUAACAGAGGCCUUUACUGUACCAAAGCUUGUUUUAGCAGGGCGGUUGCCAGCCUAACAAAAUGCAACUGUUAAUCUUGAUCCAAGCAUAAGGAACAUUCAAGAACUCAAGUCAUGGCCUGAGUUCCACAAUGCUGUUGCUGCCGGGUUAAGAUUGGCCCCACUUCAGUCUUUCCACUGCGGGCAUGGAAAGGCUUAUCUCUUUGAUAAGGUGUUGUGUCUAAAUAUCUGAAGUGUUUAUACAAAUUGUGUUUAACACUUGAAUGUUUCCUAUACAGUAAUUGGGAUACUGAAAGUGACCAGGAGUUCGAAGGAUACCAAACCGGGAAUUCAGAACCUUUAGGCUCUGGACAUAUUGGCAUCACCCUGGAUGAUACAAUCAAGGCAUGUGAAAGAUUCCAACGCCUUGGAGUAGAGUUCAGCAAAAAACAAUUAUGUAUAUCACAUGGAGAUUAUUUAAGACUAGAGUAUGCAAAUAUUUUCUUAAAGUGCUUUUGUUCAUGCCUAGUUUAUCAAUCUCAUUUGUACGGUAUGCAUUCAUCAAGGAUCCUAAUGUUUUCGGAAGAA
RNA transcript from Gossypium arboreum, 1193 nucleotides. It is a transcript of the gene named lactoylglutathione lyase-like, with no coding region annotated. The record is from RefSeq and is a predicted model, not a curated record. Lineage: Eukaryota; Viridiplantae; Streptophyta; Magnoliopsida; Malvales; Malvaceae. The transcript has 10 exons.